Long non-coding RNA from Daphnia pulex (common water flea), 2147 nucleotides. RefSeq lists it as uncharacterized. The record is from RefSeq and is a predicted model, not a curated record. Lineage: Eukaryota; Metazoa; Arthropoda; Branchiopoda; Diplostraca; Daphniidae. The transcript has 6 exons.
AGAUUUGGUAUUUGUCGUCUGGUCUGGUGCUUCGUGUGCGGACAGUCUGGACGGUCUGGACUUUUGGUUCUUGUUGGAUGAGAUUAAUUUGUAAACUCUAUAAAUUGAGAAAGAUUCAAAUUUUCCCAUUGAUGUUCCAAUUGUUCCAUGGGAGAUACAGACAAAAACAAUUGGAGUGACAAACGAAUAAUUCUGGUGAAUUCUGAUUCUUUCCAUUCCAUGUGGUCAUUUUUCAAUCCGAUUCAAUCGUCGUCUCGUAGCCGACUGACAAUGUUUUAAUUUCCCCAUGAAACAGGAAAUAUUCUUCCUGCGUCUUCACCUCCCGUCAACUCCGCAUUAGGGUCAGUGCUCCUGCUGUCGGACGAUGUCUAUGCCGAAGACUAGGAAAACGUGAGAUUGAUACUCACACAGUAUACACCGCAACCGCCUUUGUUCAGGAAUAAUUCUGUCGGAUUAAAGCGGCACACGACGCGGUCGUGGAAUCUCCAGAGGCUCAGAGGAAUUGGAUUUUUCUACUUUAUGUACGUACUUCCCCACUCAUCCACUGGGCAAAGGGUCGAGCGCGUGAGGAAUAUCCCGGCGUUUCAGGUCUUCUGCGUCCAUCACGUCUUCGACUUUUUGUCGUCCAGCUCAUCACGAAAGCCAAGAAGCGAACAUCGAGCGUCGGCGGCAACAGCGCCAAGCAGCGGCUUGGGCUCUUCCGGCCUGGCCUCUCUCAGUUGCUGGACAACAUUUUACUGCCCGUCUCUAUCGUUGCAUUCCUAUUCCUCCUCUUUCGGCCGGCCAACUCGGAUCAGCGAGCCAAUGUCGUUGCUGGAAGUCCUUCACCAAUUUCCUAAUCACAGGAUUAUGAUUGAACAUUUAACCGCCGUGGCCACCCAGCGCAUCUAGGAGGAAUUGUACGUCAGGAUGAGGAGCCGAUGGAUUGGGCCCAGGAGCCGGAAGCCCAGCUCCAAGCUCGGCCCGCGUCCAUCAAGAACCUGGAAUCGGUGGACGAACCCUCCUCCUCUUUAGAAAUUAGCACUUUUACAGUACGUGGUGGACGGCUUUGGUCAGACUCCGUCGCGAGAUAUCCGCAACGUUUUGAAUUUCCCGGGAGGCGUUCCCGCCGCAACAACCGUCACGAAUUGAAUUCGGUUCACCAGUGCUCCCUGCCGGGCUACGAGUACAUCCGCGAGCUGCACUACCUCCCCCCGGUCCAUCAUCGCCCUGGAGAUCUUCUCUAACGAUGCCCGCAACCCCCUGCUGGCCUUCCCGCCAAACGUCCGCUAAGUGUCUACUAGCUGUUACUGGCCAAGGCCACGGCACUUUCCUACUCGGCCAGUCAGUCGGUCGGCCAGCCAGAAGUGGGCGGCCAAUGUGGAGUAGUCUACCGGCUUGAUGGACGAAACGUCGGUAAAACGACCUGCUGCAUUACCCAGUGAGAUCCUGGUGUCGGGCGACGGGAGGAACCGGAUCGUCUGGGAUUUUUCGCGUUUGACUUUUUAUCCGCCAGUCGACAGGGCACAGCGCGCCGCGACAUCAAAGACCUGACGGUUGACAUCUCCAUUUGCUCCGGCAAUUUUUAUUCUUUAGGUUUGUUUGUCGAUUGGAUCAUCUCACAAAUUAAGGACCCGAUUGGCUCUAAGGGAUUCGCUGCCGUUGUCUGAAGAGCAGCCACACCUUCAGCAACUGCUGCCGGAUAAUAAUAAAGUGGACGAUUAUUAUACGACAACAUCAAGAAAGGCCAACAGCAAGAACCGUGGCAGUCUGCUGCUGUACCACCAGGUCCAGCAGCAGCAGCAGAGCCCAGUGAACAGUCUGGAACGAUCCCUGCCCAGUGUCGUUUACCAUUUCCAUCGAUGUGUCGUCGUCAAUCAGCAACAAACAACGGGACAGUCUCAGCAGCCAGCAACUGCAACAACUAGAGCUCGGCCGGCAGUAGCACGAAGCCCAGCAAUAGUACGAUUGAAUCUCAAUAGCAGCCCAAGAUGGUCAACAAACAUGCUGAUACCAUUCGUGAGCACAAAACAACUGUUUCCUAUAUAACUAUAUGUGGUACACUUUUUAAAAUCCAUAACUUGCCACUCAUUUGAAAAUGUUGAUGUACUAGAUCUACUGCUGUGUAAUAAUAAUAAUAUACUUCUCAUGCGUGUAGCUGAUGCAAA